Molecule: long non-coding RNA, 601 nt
Organism: Triticum dicoccoides
Lineage: Eukaryota; Viridiplantae; Streptophyta; Magnoliopsida; Poales; Poaceae
Exons: 3
Source: RefSeq, a predicted model, not a curated record
UCGGUUAGAAGAUGGGUCUGCUGGUACAUUUUCAAAACAGUCCUUGCAGCAUAGGUAAAUCAAGUAAAUUGACCUCCGCCUGCACUCAAGGUCGUCUCCCUCUCCUUCCAUCUCCUGUACCAGCACAGCCACCGCCGCGAGCUAGGGUUACGGCCCAGCGAGCUCAAGAACCAAUCUCCCUCCCUCAAGAUCUUCACUGAAUCCAAUCGCCGCUCUCUCCCUCUUUUGUACCAAUGCGCCAGCCGCCAGGCGAUUUUGGCAGCAGCCUACCACCGGAACAUCUGAAGAGUGCCCUGAUUUCGCCUUUGGCAGUGGUCGCUCGUUGUGAGCGCAUCGGCGACUCAACCUACCACCGCCACCGCCGUCAGCAGCACUGACCAUCUGCAGCAGCUCAAGGAUCUUGAGCAGACUAUUCGCUACUAUUCAGAUUCAGGGCCAUCUUGCCCGCUCCAACAAUAUUUUUGCCUUUGAUAAGCAUGGAAAAAAUGCAAGCAUCGCCUUCCUUCGCAUCUUCACCAGGCUUCAAACCGAUUAGCUGGAGGCAUGAACUAGGAGGUCAAAGAAUCAGCCAAUGCUGAUGAAUUAUGGUUGGGUAAUCUUC